Molecule: ribosomal RNA, 253 nt
Filed under: uncultured bacterium
Lineage: Bacteria
Description: partial 16S ribosomal RNA
Rfam family: Bacterial small subunit ribosomal RNA
Source: RNAcentral
UACAGAGGUCUCAAGCGUUGUUCGGAUUCAUUGGGCGUAAAGGGUGCGUAGGCGGCGCGGUAAGUCGGGUGUGAAAUCUCGGGGCUUAACUCCGAAACUGCAUUCGAUACUGCCGUGCUUGAGGACUGGAGAGGAGACUGGAAUUUCCGGUGUAGCGGUGAAAUGCGUAGAGAUCGGAAGGAACACCCGUGGCGAAGGCGGCAUCCUGGACCGACACUGACGCUGAGGAGCGAAAGCCAGGGGAGCAAACGGG